AGUGAACGCUGGCGGUAGGCCUAACACAUGCAAGUCGAACGGCAGCACAGUAAGAGCUUGCUCUUACGGGUGGCGAGUGGCGGACGGGUGAGGAAUACAUCGGAAUCUACUUUUUCGUGGGGGAUAACGUAGGGAAACUUACGCUAAUACCGCAUACGACCUGCGGGUGAAAGCAGGGGAUCUUCGGACCUUGCGCGAUUGAAUGAGCCGAUGUCGGAUUAGCUAGUUGGCGGGGUAAGGGCCCACCAGGCGACGAUCCGUAGCUGGUCUGAGAGGAUGAUCAGCCACACUGGAACUGAGACACGGUCCAGACUCCUACGGGAGGCAGCAGUGGGGAAUAUUGGACAAUGGGCGCAAGCCUGAUCCAGCCAUACCGCGUGGGUGAAGAAGGCCUUCGGGUUGUAAAGCCCUUUUGUUGGGAAAGAAAAGCAGCAGGUUAAUACCCCGCUGUUCUGACGGUACCCAAAGAAUAAGCACCGGCUAACUUCGUG
This 491-nucleotide ribosomal RNA is filed under the name uncultured bacterium. Its description in RNAcentral is "partial 16S ribosomal RNA". It matches the Rfam family "Bacterial small subunit ribosomal RNA", at positions 29 to 507 of the family's 1533-position model. The record is from RNAcentral.